GGCUGGUCCAAUGGUAGUGGAUUAUCAAAACUUAUUAGUAUCACUAAAGUUGGUAUACAAACCCCACUGCUAAAUUUAACUGGCUUUUA
Callithrix jacchus (white-tufted-ear marmoset) is the source of this 89-nucleotide Y RNA. It matches the Rfam family "Y RNA". Rfam says of the family: Y RNAs are components of the Ro ribonucleoprotein particle (Ro RNP), in association with Ro60 and La proteins. The record is from Ensembl. NCBI's taxonomy places the organism in Eukaryota, Metazoa, Chordata, Mammalia, Primates, Cebidae.